This 2586-nucleotide long non-coding RNA is filed under the name Homo sapiens (human). Its description in RNAcentral is "HSALNT0316005". The record is from RNAcentral. Lineage: Eukaryota; Metazoa; Chordata; Mammalia; Primates; Hominidae.
ACUGUGCUGGAUGCUUGGCUAGAUAAUAUGCUGUCCUUCUUCUGGUCUCUGUAUUUUUGUGUGUGUAUGUUUUAAGAAGAUGACAUUCUUCAACAUUGUAAGGUCAGUAAUCUGACAAAUGUAAUUUAGUAGUAUUGGGGCUCGGAAAAUGACACCCCAAAACAUGCUGAGAGCUUUGAACAAAGGAGAUUAAAAUGCUCCAGAACGAAGCCUCAGAACCAAUGUUUCUCUCUGACCUUCUGCUCCUUCCACAACUUCUCUGCUGAAGUGCAGGGAGGUCCUUUCUCUGAAGUUCCCUUAUCUGACUGAGGGAAGGAAGUUCUUCCAAAAGGAACACAAUGGUCUCGAAUCCUUUCCCUAGGAAACUCAUUAAGCAACCAGGAAAGAUUAAUCACCACAGAGGAGAUUAAUUCAUCACUGCAGGCAGACAGGCUAUCACCUAUUCUUUUGGAUGCAGCUCUAAAACAACUUUUAUCUGAAUAGUAAGACAGCCUUUGCUCAUCAUUUGGUUCCUCCCCUUUCCCUCCCCUAACUUGUUGCUACUUCCCCCCAAUGCUUCAGGUUCCCAUUCCUUUAUGCUAUUUACGUUUCAGCUAUCUGGCCCUUCUCAGAGUCUCACAUUUUAUUUGGCUCCUGUGCAUAUUAAUAAAUCUGUAUGUCUUUUCUCCAAUUAAUCUGUUCAUUAUCAGUUUAUUUCAACAGCCUCAAUUGACUCUUCAGAAGGUUAAACUUUUGUAGGCUAUUUUCCCCUUAAAAUGAACUAUAUUUCAUCUUCCCUCUUUAGGCCUACUUGUUGGUAAGCUAUAGAACAAGCUUGUCCAACUUGUGGCCCAUGGACCACAUGUAGCCCAAGAUGGCUUUGAAUGGGGCCCAACACAAAUUUGUAAACUUUCUUAAAAUAUCAUGGGUUUUUUUGCGAUAUAUAUAUAUACAUUUUAAAGCUCAUCAGUUACUGUUAUGGCCCAAGAAAAUUCUUCUUCCAAUGAGGCCCAGGAAAGCCAAAAGAUUGGACUCCCCUGCUAUAAAGUUUGGCUUUCAUGGAGGUAGUGGGGGAGGUGGUCCCAAAAUAGACCACUGAUUUGCCAAAUUUAAAAAUUAAGGGUUUUCAUAUUCAGAACCAAAAUUACUGUAAAGACUGACCUCACUGGUGAUGUCACAAUCACAUUUCAAAAACAAUAGAGUAUUUCCUGUGAUUUAAAUUCUAAAUCAAAAUUAUUCAUAGGCCAGUUCUAGAUUCUUUUGCUGUUCCCUUUCCCUCUACGGCAAGUCUUGCCAACAGGAUGAGACUCCCUUGUCAACUAUGAUGAUUAAUUUUACGUGUCAAUUUGAUUAGGCCACAGAGUGCCAAGAUACUUAGUCAAACAUUAUUCUGGGUGUUUCUGUGAAAGUGUUUUAAGAUGAGAUUAACACUUAAAUCAGUGGCAUGGAUAGACGGGAUUGCUUCCAUCAUGUUGGUGGGCCUCAUUCAGUCAGUUCAAGGCUUGAUUAGAACAAAAGGGCUGACCUUCACUUGACUAAGAGAAAAUUCUUUUUGCCUGACAGCCUUCAAACUGAGACAUUGCUUUUUUCUUGCCUUCAGACUUGAACUGAAACUUUGGCUCUUCCUGGGUCUUGAGCCUACUGGCCUUUGAACUGGAACAGCAACAUUGGCUCUCCUGGUUCUCAGACCUUUGGACUCAGACUGCAACUAAACCAUCAGCUUUCUUGGGUCUCCAGCUUGCCAGCUUACCUUGAAGCAGAUCUUGGGACUUAUCAGCUUCUGUAAUCACUGCUUCAAACAAACGACAGAGGAUAUCACAAGGACAUGGGAGCCAGCUCAAUAGUUUCUACUGACCAAAUCUAAGGCAACUUGAGCAUCAAAUCUAUUCGGCAAAUGAUCACCCAUCUACCUCCAAGAGUGAAUGAUAGUUUAUGCCAAAAAUAAAUAAAGAUCAGCAUUCUAUUUGUCUUACUGGCUACAUAUCUUUGAAGAAAAAAAAAAAUCAGGUCAGUAAAAUGUUCAUUAAUUAAGAGAUUUCAUCCAAUUUUCAUCUAAUUGCCUAUUUUUUUUUGCUCCUUUCAACAUAUUUUCAUUUACAUUUAACAGGAUGUUCUACUUUUAUGGUGCCAAUGAUAAUUCUUUAAAAAUCUGUUUUUUAAAAUGGAGAAAAAAUAAAAUAACUUGAGUUGCAUAACAGCAAAAAAAUAUACUGUCAACAGAAACUUAGUUUAACGUCUAAAAUCUUUAUAAAAGAUAAGCAAAUUCUGAUUUUUUCCCUUUAUUUUAUAAUUGAAAAAUGAAACCACUUAACAUGAACACUUGAUACAUAAUUUCCUUAAAACUUCUCUAUGGUGAAAUAAAACUGUACCUAGUUGAAGAGUGUAUAUAAUAUUAACACUCAUGACAAUUUCAAUCCAACCGUUGAUAUAGCUUCAAAUUACUAUUAAUUGUGGCUAUUUUUUGGGAAAAAAUUGUGCAAAGCUUAUGAGGGCCCAGUAUACGAAAGGCUUAAUUUUUAAGAGUCAAAUCUACAUUUGUCACAAGAGUUCAAAAAGUGGCAUUAUAGUGCAAAAACACUAGAAAAUGCUAUCUCUUACUCAUAAGUC